CCUUCAAACAAUGCUAGACACGACUGUCGAUUUUCUAUCUUCAGUCGGGCUUACCCUUAACUCAGAUAAAUGUUUUACAGUUGGAAUAAAGGGGCAACCGAAACAGAAGUGUACUGUGGUCAUCCCAGAGACCUUCCGUAUCGGUUCGCGCUCGUGUCCUGCAUUGAAGCGCACAGACGAGUGGAAGUAUUUAGGCAUAACAUUCACUGCACAAGGGAGGACCAGGUACAGUCCAGCCGACGACCUAGGUCCGAAGCUGUUGAGGCUGACAAGGUCCCCCCUAAAACCACAACAGAAAUUGUUCGCACUCAGAACAGUUCUUAUCCCACAACUUUACCAUAAGCUGACCCUAGGUAGUGUGAUGAUAGGUGUUCUGAGGAAGUGUGACAUACUGGUACGUUCGACCGUAAGGAAGUGGUUAGGGCUUCCUCUGGACGUGUCAACUGCAUUCUUCCAUGCUCCUCAUAUUUAUGGGGGCCUCGGAAUCCCUUCAGUUCGUUGGGUAGCGCCAAUGCUACGUAUGAAAAGAUUGAGCAAUAUUAAGUGGGCCCACCUCGCGCAAUCCGAGGCGGCCAGCUCAUUUCUUACCGACGAAUUGAAUAAGGCCCGGGGUAGAACUCUGGCUGGACUGAAUGAGUUGACAUCGCGUUCGGAGAUCGAAACGUAUUGGGCGAACAGGUUGUAUAUGUCUGUUGAUGGUCGCGGCUUACGUGAAGCGGGACUUUUUCGUCCCCAACACGGCUGGGUGUGUCAGCCCACGCGUUUGCUAACAGGUCAAGAUUACCGAAACGGUAUCAAGCUGCGAAUAAAUGCCCUACCAUCGAGGUCUCGUACCACGAGGGGCAGAAAUGAAUUGGAACGGCAAUGUCGUGCAGGUUGUGAUGCUCCCGAAACAACAAACCACAUCCUGCAGAAUUGUUACCGUACGCAUGGGAGGCGGGUAGCAAGACAUAACUGUGUAGUCAAUAACCUUAAGAGGAUUCUUGAGGAGAAGGGCCACACAGUACACGUCGAACCAAGUUUGCAGCUGGAAACCUCGGUAAGUAAACCAGACCUGGUGUGUAUCCGUGACAAUCACGCUUGCGUGAUUGAUGCGCAGAUUAUAACGGAUGGACUGUUUCUCGACGAUGUGCACCAUCGCAAAGUUGAGAAAUAUAAAAGACCGGAAGUUAUAUCUGCACUGCGGAGAGAAUUCGGAGUGUCGGGCAACGUCGAAGUCCUAUCCGCGACGUUAAACUGGCGUGGGAUCUGGAGCAAUCAAUCCGUUAGAAGAUUGAUAGCAAAGGGUCUCAUCUCAUCCGGUGACAGCAAUGUCAUUAGCGCCAGAGUGGUAACAGGCGGACUAUAUUGCUUCAGACAGUUCAUGUAUCUCGCAGGUUACACUCGAGAUUGGACUUAGCCUAUACACUAUGUUGGAGAGAAGACGCUUGCUACCUAGGCAUAAUGUGAAAUUAGGUAUAAACAUCGUGGUUGUAAAACUUGAGGUGGGUUUUUAGUACGUAUGCGUGAUUACUUCGUAAUCAUGAAUCGUGCAUGCUAGUGGGGUUUGGCCUCCACUAGUAUCUUUGAAGAUUUUCCUUCCUCAGCGAUCAAAAAAAAAAAAAAAAAAAAAAAUAGCCAAAUGCCUCGUCAUCUAAUUAGUGACGCGCAUGAAUGGAUUAACGAGAUUCCUACUGUCCCUAUCUACUAUCUAGCGAAACCACAGCCAAGGGAACGGGCUUGGAAUAAUUAGCGGGGAAAGAAGACCCUUUUGAGCUUGACUCUAAUCUGGCAGUGUAAGGAGACAUAAGAGGUGUAGCAUAAGUGGGAGAUAUUAGAUUUCGGUUUGGUAUCGACAAUGAAAUACCACUACUCUUAUUGUUUCCUUACUUACUUGAUUAAAUGGAACGUGUAUCAUUUCCUAGCCAUUAUACGGAUAUAUUUAUUAUAUCUUAUGGUAUUGGGUUUUGAUGCAAGCUUCUUGAUCAAAGUAUCACGAGUUUGUUAUAUAAUCGCAAACAAAUUCUUUAAUGAGAAAAUGCAUUUAUGUAUUUUCAAUUUGAAAAUUUGGUAUAACUCCAAUUACUCAGGUAUGAUCCAAUUCAAGGACAUUGCCAGGUAGGGAGUUUGACUGGGGCGGUACAUCUCUCAAAUAAUAACGGAGGUGUCCCAAGGCCAGCUCAGUGCGGACAGAAACCACACAUAGAGCAAAAGGGCAAAUGCUGACUUGAUCUCGGUGUUCAGUACACACAGGGACAGCAAAAGCUCGGCCUAUCGAUCCUUUUGGUUUAAAGAGUUUUUAACAAGAGGUGUCAGAAAAGUUACCAUAGGGAUAACUGGCUUGUGGCGGCCAAGCGUUCAUAGCGACGUCGCUUUUUGAUCCUUCGAUGUCGGCUCUUCCUAUCAUUGUGAAGCAAAAUUCACCAAGCGUUGGAUUGUUCACCCAUGCAAGGGAACGUGAGCUGGGUUUAGACCGUCGUGAGACAGGUUAGUUUUACCCUACUAAUGACAAAACGUUGUUGCGACAGCAUUCCUGCGUAGUACGAGAGGAACCGCAGGUACGGACCAAUGGCACAAUACUUGUUCGAGCGAACAGUGGUAUGACGCUACGUCCGUUGGAUUAUGCCUGAACGCCUCUAAGGUCGUAUCCGUGCUGGACUGCAAUGAUAAAUAAGGGGCAAUUUGCAUUGU
Molecule: ribosomal RNA, 2670 nt
Filed under: Drosophila pseudoobscura pseudoobscura
Lineage: Eukaryota; Metazoa; Arthropoda; Insecta; Diptera; Drosophilidae
Description: eukaryotic LSU rRNA
Rfam family: Eukaryotic large subunit ribosomal RNA (bases 1486-2670)
Source: RNAcentral